GGAUCAUUAGCUCAGCCCGGUUAGAGCACUUGCUCGACAUGCAAGGGGUCACUGGUUCGAAUCCAGUAUGAUCCACCA
This 78-nucleotide transfer RNA is filed under the name Candidatus Peregrinibacteria bacterium. Its description in RNAcentral is "tRNA-Val". It matches the Rfam family "tRNA". Rfam says of the family: Transfer RNA (tRNA) molecules are approximately 80 nucleotides in length. Their secondary structure includes four short double-helical elements and three loops (D, anti-codon, and T loops). Further hydrogen bonds mediate the characteristic L-shaped molecular structure. tRNAs have two regions of fundamental functional importance: the anti-codon, which is responsible for specific mRNA codon recognition, and the 3' end, to which the tRNAs corresponding amino acid is attached (by aminoacyl-tRNA synthetases). tRNAs cope with the degeneracy of the genetic code in two manners: having more than one tRNA (with a specific anti-codon) for a particular amino acid; and 'wobble' base-pairing, i.e. permitting non-standard base-pairing at the 3rd anti-codon position. RNAcentral also lists the same sequence under 1 other name. Lineage: Bacteria; Candidatus Peregrinibacteriota. The record is from RNAcentral.